GGAUAUUUUCUAAAGUUCCACAUACCUAGGAUCCUAUCUUAUUUAUCCUGUUCAACAAUAUUGAGAGUUUUGGUACUUUGGGGUCAAUAUGCGCUCAGAGGACGACCACCCCUGAUAGAGGAGGACCGUUUCCUCGGUCAAGGGUAUAUGAGAAGCUGCGAUCCCCUGCUAGAACCUCCAAACAAGCUCUCAAGGUCAAUAUGCUCUCAGAAGUUAGGAGAAGGAAUACUGAACUAACAGUCAGGAGGCUUAAUUUCUAGACCCAGCUGUGGUAGUUUACCU
Molecule: small nuclear RNA, 282 nt
Filed under: Heterocephalus glaber (naked mole-rat)
Lineage: Eukaryota; Metazoa; Chordata; Mammalia; Rodentia; Bathyergidae
Description: 7SK RNA
Rfam family: 7SK RNA
About the family: 7SK was discovered as an abundant small nuclear RNA in the mid-70s but a possible function has only recently been suggested. Two independent studies have found that 7SK RNA binds the CDK9/cyclin T complex (known as elongation factor P-TEFb).
Source: Rfam by way of RNAcentral